Molecule: ribosomal RNA, 496 nt
Filed under: uncultured bacterium
Lineage: Bacteria
Description: bacterial SSU rRNA
Rfam family: Bacterial small subunit ribosomal RNA
Source: RNAcentral
AAAGGAAUAGACGGGGGCCCGCACAAGCAGUGGAGUAUGUGGUUUAAUUCGAUGCAACGCGAAGAACCUUACCGGGGCUUGACAUCCCGCGCCAGUCCGAGAGAUCGGAUGUUCCUCUUUUAGAGGACGCGGAGACAGGUGGUGCAUGGUUGUCGUCAGCUCGUGUCGUGAGAUGUUGGGUUAAGUCCCGCAACGAGCGCAACCCCUAUUGCCGGUUGCCAUCAUUAAGUUGGGCACUUUGGCGAGACUGCCGGUGAUAAAUCGGAGGAAGGUGGGGAUGACGUCAAAUCAUCAUGCCCUUUAUGUCCCGGGCUACACACGUACUACAAUGGCCGUUACAACGGGAAGCGAAGUCGCGAGGCGGAGCGGAUCCUUUAAAAGCGGCCCCAGUUCGGAUUGCAGGCUGCAACUCGCCUGCAUGAAGUCGGAAUUGCUAGUAAUGGCAGGUCAGAAUACUGCCGUGAAUACGUUCCCGGGCCUUGUACACACCGCCCGU